CUUCACCGAACCCAGCCACAGCGGCGUUUCCCGGUCCUGGCCGUACGUCGCCAGCAGCGCCUGCGCCUC
This 69-nucleotide antisense RNA is filed under the name Amycolatopsis rifamycinica. Its description in RNAcentral is "Aspks sRNA". It matches the Rfam family "ASpks TB sRNA". The record is from RNAcentral. Lineage: Bacteria; Bacillati; Actinomycetota; Actinomycetes; Pseudonocardiales; Pseudonocardiaceae.